AAGAAGCGGGCGCGGCCGUGGACCCACAUCGUCCGCUACGUCUCCCUCUACUACCUCGUCAACGUCAUCGGCAACAGGAUCACCAUCGAGGGCUUCCGCCGCCUGGUCGCCGCGGGCGACACCGACCUCGCGGCCCGCGGCCGCGCCACCGGGGGUCAUCGCCGUGGGGAACCUCCUCCGGAUGGCGUCGGCCUCGGCGGCGACGAUCCUGUGGGACACGCGGCUGUGCCAGGAUGUCGUCAUGGUCGAGUUCAUCCUGGAGACCCUGGCCGUGGCCCUAUACGUGCACUUCACCAUGGACGCGUUCGGUUGCUCCUGCCCCUGCCCGCAUCAGUGUUGAUCCCGUACAUCAGUGUAUGUGUCAAAAUCCUA
This 372-nucleotide long non-coding RNA is filed under the name Setaria italica (foxtail millet). Its description in RNAcentral is "long non-coding RNA (SITA_LNC004312)". Lineage: Eukaryota; Viridiplantae; Streptophyta; Magnoliopsida; Poales; Poaceae. The record is from RNAcentral.